This 3567-nucleotide ribosomal RNA is filed under the name Triticum aestivum (bread wheat). Its description in RNAcentral is "partial small subunit ribosomal RNA". Lineage: Eukaryota; Viridiplantae; Streptophyta; Magnoliopsida; Poales; Poaceae. The record is from RNAcentral.
AUGCGACUAGCCAUGGAGACCUCCCCUUUGAUAAAGCUCAUCUCACUCACCCUCCUACUAGCCUCGGCCAUGGCUGGGCCAUCUUUGGAGGAACAGGCAGGAGCACUUCUUGCCUGGAAAGCCACACUAGAAAGCCAACCAGCCCAACUGCAAUCCUGGGAAAACACCUCAUGGCCGUGUAGCUGGCAUGGCAUCAGCUGCAGCAGCAAGCAUCAACAACAACCGGUGAUCACCGGGAUCUCUCUGCGAGGCUUGGGGCUCAGAGGGGAGCUCCACACCCUCAACUUCUCGGCGUUGGCAACCCUGACGAGUAUCCAGCUCGCGCAAAAUCAGAUAAGGGGCUCCUUACCACCUUCUCUAGCAUCAUCCUUGCCAAACCUCCGGCAUCUAAUGCUCCAGGCAAAUCAGCUCUCCGGUGAAAUACCAAGGCAUGUAAAACACCUAGAGGGCCUUGUGGCGCUGGAUUUGUCAAACAAUCACUUGUCUGGUCCCAUUCCCAGCGAACUAGGCUACCUAAGGAAGCUGCGUGCAUUAGAUUUUUCCAACAACAACCUCACAGGCCAUGUCCCAAGAAUUUUAGGGAAUUUAACCAAGCUCGCUAACUUGUCCCUGGCUGAUAACCAAUUAUCUGGAUAUCUUCCUCCAGAACUAGGUUACCUCGUGAAUUUACGAUGGUUGGUUCUUAGUCAAAACAAACUCAUGGGUUCUAUCCCGGCUACCUUGGGGAGAUUGGUUAAUCUCACUGUCUUGUACCUAUAUUAUAACCAACUUUCUGGACAUAUCCCUCAGGAACUAGGUUACCUCGUGAACUUACAAGAGUUAGAUUUUACCGGCAACGACCUCACAGGCCCUAUCCCAAGAAAUUUAGGGAAUUUAACCAAACUCAAUAACUUGUUUCUUGGUGAUAACCAAUUGUUUGGAUAUCUUCCUCGAGAACUAGGUUACCUGGUGAAUUUAGGAGGGCUGCAUCUUUGGCAAAACAAACUCAUGGGUUCUAUCCCCGCUACCUUUGGGAGUUUGCUUAAUCUCACCAGCUUGUACCUAAGGUAUAACCAACUUUCUGGGCACAUUCCUCGAGAACUAGGUUACCUCGUGAAGUUAUUUGAGUUAGAACUUCAACACAACAAACUCAUGGGUUUCGUUCCUGAUAUAUUUGGAAAUUUGACCAAGCUCAGUUACUUGUACCUGGGCGACAACCAACUUUCCGGACAUAUUCCUCGAGAACUUGGGUACCUAGUGAAUAUGAGAAAGUUAGAUCUUAGGAACAACAAACUCAUUGGUUCUAUCCCUGCUACCUUUGGGAGUUUGGUUAAUCUCACUAGCUUGGUCCUAUGGGACAACCAACUCUUUGGACGUAUUCCUCCAGAAUUAGGUUAUCUCAUGAACUUAGAAGAGUUAGGACUUAGCAACAACAAACUCGUGGGUUCCCUCCCUGAUAUGUUUGGAAAUUUGACCAAGCUCUCUCUCUUGCACCUGGAUGGUAAUAAAUUUUGCGGACAUGUUCCUCGAGAAAUUGGUACCUUAAUGGAUCUCCAAUAUCUACAGUUGAAUGGUAACAAUUUCUCCGGUCCCUUGCCACCUGACUUGUGUGCUGGAGGCAAGCUCGAGAGAUUGACUGCAUUUGAUAAUAACCUGAAUGGACCUUUGCCGUCAAGUCUGGUACAUUGCUUAAGCCUCGUUAGAGUUCGUCUUGAAAGGAAUCAAAUAGAAGGAGAUAUCUCUGAGUUGGGAAUUCAUCCCAAUAUGGUGUAUAUGGAUAUGAGCUCAAAUAAACUAUAUGGGCAGUUAUCUAACCAUUGGAGGGAUUGGCAUAAUCUUACCAAGCUGAACAUCUCAAACAACAACAUCAUGGGUAAUAUACCCACAAGUAUGGGACUGUUGUCUCAGUUAAAGGUGCUCGAUCUUUCAUCAAACAAACUUGAAGGGGAGCUUCCAAGUAAACUGGGCAAUGUAAAAAGUCUGUUCCAUUUGAGCCUCGCUGAUAAUUUGCUCUAUGGUAGCAUUCCACAAGAAAUUGGAGCAUUGUACAAUCUAGAGAUCCUAGAUUUGUCAUCAAAUAACCUAAGUGGUUCAAUAAAAGGUUCAGUUGAACAUUGCCUCAAGCUUCGCUUUUUGAAGUUGAGUCAUAAUAACUUUGAAGGAAACAUCCCUACCGAGCUAGGCGUGGUGUCAAGCUUACAAGGCCUGUUGGAUUUAAGCGACAAUUCAUUUGUUGGGGCGAUACCAAGCCAACUUAGUGGCCUGAGCAUGCUAGAUACUUUGAAUCUUUCACACAAUGAAUUGAAUGGCUCAAUUCCAGCAUCAUUUGGGAGCAUGGAAAGCUUAACAUCCAUUGAUGUAUCUUAUAAUGAAUUGGAAGGACCGAUCCCAGAGAGUAGGCUUUUCCUGAGAGCUCCACUCCAAUGUUUCAUGCAUAAUAAGAUGUUAUGUGGUGUAGUGAAAGGACUGCCCCCCUGUAGUAGUGCAACUCAGAGCGAAGGACAACGGACACCUUAUGGAAAAAUUGUACUAGCCACAGUCCCUAUUUUGAUAUCUCUUGUUCUUGUCAUAGCUAUACUUAAAUUUCGGCAUGAAAGGAAGAAAUCAAAGGCAACUUCCACUGAUAAUGUAACACAAUUAGCAAGCAUGUUCUCUGUUUGGAGCUUUGAUGGGACAAAUGUGUUCAAGCAAAUUGCUGAGGCAACUGACAAUUUCAGCGAGGUACAUUGCAUUGGAACCGGAGGAUAUGGGUCUGUGUACAAAGCUAGACUUGCAACAUGUGAAAUAUUUGCAGUGAAGAAGAUACGCACAAUAGAAGAUGAGUAUGGCGUCAAUGAGUCAAUGUUCAAUCGCGAGAUCGGGGCAUUGGUGCAGAUUCGACAUCGAAACAUCGUAAAACUAUUUGGGUAUUGCUCCUCAAGCCAAGGCAGAUUUCUUAUCUAUGAAUACAUGGAGAGAGGAAACUUGGCGGAAACACUUAGAACCAACAAAAGGGCAAUUGAAUUGGACUGGAAAAGGCGGGUAAAUAUUGUGUUGGACGUGAUUCAUGCUUUGGCAUACAUGCAUCAUGAUUGUACAUCACCAAUAGUUCACCGAGAUAUAACAAGCAGCAACAUUUUGCUUGAUGUGGAAUUUAGAGCUUUCAUCUCUGAUUUUGGUACGGCUAAAAUCCUCAAUGUUAGUGGCCCGAAUAUCACAAGGCUUGCUGGCACAAAAGGCUAUCUUGCUCCAGAGCUAGCGUACACAGAGAACGUGACUGAGAAAUGUGAUGUAUAUAGUUUCGGAGUGCUCGUUAUUGAGCUUUUUUUGGGAUCCCAUCCAGGCGAUUUGCUCUCAUCUAUCUACUUGACAACCAACAAGAAUGAUCUAUGUCUGAAGGAUCUGCUGGACUCUAGGCUCGAGCUUCCGGGCGCUGAAACCGCUAGAGAAAUAUACAGCGUGCUCAGCGUUGCAGUUCGGUGCCUAGAGCCUAACCCAUCACGCAGACCAACAACACGGCAUGCUAGUGAUGAGCUAUCUUCUGGGAACCAAACAUGUGAAGGUCAUCAUGUUGAUUAUCUACACGCCAACCUCACCAUUCCUACCUAG